CAAAAUUUUAUGAAAAGUUAACGAGCAGAAUUAAUUUCAGUAAAGGUGUUUGGUACCACCGUAAUCAGUGAAUCGAUAUCUUGAAUUCAUUGUUUGUUUGUUUGUUUGUUGUUGUUGUUGAUUUCAAUUUCUGAUACCAAAUGUCAAUAAUUGUUUUACUAUAUGACUUUUUGUAUAGUCUUGUGAUUUUCUUGUACUUGAGUAAGAUAUUUUCAAAACCGAUCGUUCUUUUGUCUCGCUUGGCGAAGUCAAAAAGUGAGACAUAUGUAUGCUAAUUGCGGCGUCGGCGGUGGCGUCAACAAUGUAACAGUUUGUGAUAAGUCUAGUUUAUAGUGAACCGCUAUUUUAGGUCAAAAAUAUUCGGUAUGCAGUUGUAUUAUUAUUGGCAAAUCUCAUUACCAUAGAGAUUAUUUGGCCCCG
Molecule: long non-coding RNA, 420 nt
Filed under: Mytilus galloprovincialis (Mediterranean mussel)
Lineage: Eukaryota; Metazoa; Mollusca; Bivalvia; Mytilida; Mytilidae
Source: RNAcentral